AUUGAACGCUGGCGGCAGGCCUAACACAUGCAAGUCGAACGGUAACAGGAAGAAGCUUGCUUCUUUGCUGACGAGUGGCGGACGGGUGAGUAAUGUCUGGGAAACUGCCUGAUGGAGGGGGAUAACUACUGGAAACGGUAGCUAAUACCGCAACGUCGCAAGACCAAAGAGGGGGACCUUCGGGCCUCUUGCCAUCGGAUGUGCCCAGAUGGGAUUAGCUAGUAGGUGGGGUAACGGCUCACCUAGGCGACGAUCCCUAGCUGGUCUGAGAGGAUGACCAGCCACACUGGAACUGAGACACGGUCCAGACUCCUACGGGAGGCAGCAGUGGGGAAUAUUGCACAAUGGGCGCAAGCCUGAUGCAGCCAUGCCGCGUGUAUGAAGAAGGCCUUCGGGUUGUAAAGUACUUUCAGCGGGGAGGAAGGGAGUAAAGUUAAUACCUUUGCUCAUUGACGUUACCCGCAGAAGAAGCACCGGCUAACUCCGUG
This 488-nucleotide ribosomal RNA is filed under the name uncultured bacterium. RNAcentral describes it as "partial 16S ribosomal RNA". It matches the Rfam family "Bacterial small subunit ribosomal RNA", at positions 30 to 507 of the family's 1533-position model. The record is from RNAcentral.